Molecule: small nuclear RNA, 106 nt
Filed under: Cervus elaphus hippelaphus
Lineage: Eukaryota; Metazoa; Chordata; Mammalia; Artiodactyla; Cervidae
Also listed under: 1 other name
Source: RNAcentral
GUGCUCACUUGGGCAGCACAUAUACUAAAAUCAGAAUGAUACAGAGAAGAUUAGUAUGGCCCUGUACAAGGAUGACACACAAAUUCUUGAAGUGUUCCAUAUUUUU